UACGCUCCCUCUCUUCGAAGCUGAUGCCACACUCCACACAGUCCACACCUGCCAUAGCUAGAGCUUCGAUUGAUGGCAUGGCUUCAGUCAAGUACUGCUAAGAGUGUUUCUGUGUGCUUCUUUGCAUCAGGACAUACGAGGUAUUUAUAAGGGGAACCUAAACUAGCCUUGUAUCUCUGUGGAUAAGGUUGCAGGUGAGAGCAUAUGAUCCACUACCAAGUAGAAGUAGAAGUAGCCAUUGCUUUAGUGAUGGCAUGGCUGACGUUCUUAAUAAAGUUAAAUCGUUUCAUGAUGUCGGUAAUCUCAAUCACAGAUUACUUCCCCAAUGGACUCAUUUCUGAACUUUCUCUUUUCGUGAAGACUGUUGAGCGCUUUAAUUAACAGUUUUUUUUUUCAGAUUUAAUGAGAAUUUUUAUUUUAUAGAAAGCCAAUGUUAAAUUAAUCAUUUAAUGGGUAAUUGGUAGCGCGUUUCAGCAACCUUUAAGUAUCGUUUUUUUUUUACACUUUUUGCAUGGACAUUUAAUAUCGUCAUCAGUAAAAUUUAUCAGGAUAAAUAUUUAAAAUUAAUAAAACCCUGAACCCCGUUAUAAUAUUCCAUCCUCUGCAAUCCUUGAGGUGAGUCCCGAUAUAUCCAUGAACGACCAUCCAUGACUUCUAUCGAACCUUUAUAAAAUUAUGACAACAACAUUUAUUAAUGAACUAUGUUACAUAAAUAAACAUAACAAAAAUAUUGGUUUGCCCCAACAUUAUCCAACGAACUAAAAAAACACUUAUGUUAAAUAUUCAUUAUCAAUUAUCAACUAUCAACAUCCAUACAAAUUUAUACAUAUAUAAAUUUACAAAAAUCACAACUUCGCAAUAGAAUUGAUAAAAAUUAAAACGGUCCCGUUAAAAAAUCUAUUAUUUAUUUCAUCACAACACAUCUAAUUCGGUGUAAUUCAAACAAAGUUUCAACAAUUUACAAACAAAUAUAAUUUGAUAAAAUCUAAAACAAACUAUAACAACUACAAAAUUAUAUAUUCAUAAUACAAGUUUCUUUGACAAAUAAUAAUCAAACAAGUACAUGCGUUAACCAAAAAACAUAAACUAAAAAAAAUCACAUUUAAAUGUUAAAACUAAAAAAGGAUAGAUUCACUUACAAAAAAUGAUAAAAUCCACAAGAACAAAUGCUGUGACCAUCGUACAAAAGUAUAAGAAACUUGAGUGUUUAUGUUGAGAAGAGGGGGAGAGUUGGGAUGGGUGGUUGGCUGCAGUCCGGGAGGGGAGAGGUGGGAUGGGAAAGAAGAAGGAGAAAUAGAGUGUUGGUAGAGUGGGUAUAUAUCGAUUGUUACCAAUGGAAUCACCAACGGACACAUUCCGUUAGUAAACCCGUCGGUGAGUCCAUCGGUGACUGUGUCACGUCACUGUACGAAGAUCCUGGUUUGAAUCCCUCGGUCAUUUCGUUGGUAAAAUCGCCUGAAAAAAAAAUCUACGUCAUCACAUCGUUGCAACUUUCCAAAAAAAACUAUAUAAUACGUCUGUGAUACGGUCGGUAUGUACCGACCAUAUCGCCAAUGGGUAUUUUCUGUCGGUAUAUACCGAUAGAAUUGGAGACGAAGUUAUUUUUGUCGGUAAAAAUCUAGUUGGUUUUCGCUGAUUUUCUGGUAGUGUUAAAGACCGGAAUACAAAUGGUUGUAAUUAUAUGCAUCAAUACUAUUAUUUUUUUUUAACGUGGGUGUCCAAGCUAGCUUGCGUACACCUCAACUAAUCCCACGAGCCCUUAACUUAAUGACAAUGUAAGGCACCCUAAGAUUUGUGAGACUCGAACUAGUGACAUUUAGGGUGCAAUCUUAGGAUAUCAAUACUAUUUUCUUCUAAUAAUGAUACAUGAAAUGAAUACACACACACAAAAAUAUAUUCAUAAGACUUUAUCUGCGUCUGAAUCUAAGUCUAGAAUCAUAAAUAUAAUAGGUUAUUCCAAUUUUUUUAAGAUGAAACUCUAUCUAGUAUUAAGCUUAAAGUAAACGGAUCUUGAGAGUGAUUGAUGGUGUGGUUUUUUAAAGUAGUUUUUACUUUGAAAUAUAUCAAAAUAAUAUAUUUUUUAUUUUUAAAAAUUAUUUUGAUAUCAAUACAUCAAAACAAUUCAAAAAUAAAAAAAAAUAAUUUUUUUUUUUAUAAAAUGCUGCUUGGAACAGAAUUUCAAACUGCACGUAACCAAAAGGUAAUUUUUAACUAUGAUGGAAAGAAUCAAUAUUAUUCUAUUAUGAUUUUUUUUCAUCUGUUUAUUCAUACAUAAUUUGUUAAAAUUUAUUCAUUAUAUUCAGUAUCCAACUUCUUUUCCUUUUAAUCCCGUGACUACUAAGGAUUCAAUUAAUGCAUUUGUACUGGGUUGUUGUAGCAGAUGCAUUACAAGGACCAGGAGAGGGGGGGAAAUCAAUGGUAGCUAAUCAAUUUAGAAUUAAUUUUUAUUAAUAUAUAUUACGUGUUAUUUUUACCGAGUAAAUAUUUUUAUUGAUAAGUUAUAUUUAUUGAGGAAAUUACAAUAGAAAAACAAAAUUAAAACAAAGUAAAAAAAAAAACAAUAACGUGCUAUUUUUACCGACGGGAUAAAUUUUGUCAGUAAAAUCCAUCGGUAAAUUCGUUAGUAAAUUGUGAACAUUGUUUAUCAUAUAAAUUACAAAAAUAAUCGCCAAUGUAAAUUUCAUUAGUAUUUUUCAGAGAGCUUUGGAACUGUUCGCUUCCUAAUUGCAUUAUUAAUUAAUGUUCUUUAUAUACUAAAUCACCGACGGCCGGAUCGAAAAGUCAUCGGUAUUAUUUGGUGGUUUUUUAAAAAAGUUUGAUUAAAUUAAAUAGUACGGAUAGCAUCACCAACAGAUGGAAAAGUCGUCGGUGAUAUUUGGUGGUUUCUAAAUAUUUUUUAUUAAAUUAAAUAUACAGACAAAAUCAUUAGAAAUGGACUGUUCUUCUAGUAUGAACUCAAACAAAGAAGGCAGAAUAUUUUAACAUUUCCUUAACAAUAACACCAUAAUAUUUGUACAUCAACCCAGAAUCUCUUUUCCAAUAACGAUCGUAAGUAGUUUAAUUUUGCGUGAUUUUGAUUGUCAAUGAUUAUUUUUAAUGAGUAUAGACACAGAGAUGCAGCUUGAAGUGUUUCUCUUUGACGUUUUUUCUUUUGGAAAGUAUUAAAUCAAGAAAUUUUCCUUCCAUAUGCGGCCAUAAUACAAGCGGAAUUCAGCAAACUAAAUACAAAUAUAUGAUGUAAACAUAAUAUCACAGCUUUUUAUCUUGACUGUUAUAACCCAUUUUUGGGUCCCCAUGAAAAAUAAAAUAAAUAGCCAAAAGAGUUUAGAAAAAAUAACAGAAGGCAGAAGCGCUCAGGAAACAGUCAGAAAAUUGGUCAAGAAAUUCAAAAAUACAAGGAUUAAAUUUUUGACAGUAUAUUCUUGAAGGAUGAAGGCCCUAUUGAGAAGGAAAAUUUGAAUUUUGAGGAGAAAAGCCCAAAUUUGGAUGUUUAUGGACUUAAUUGGAUUUUUAUUUGAAUUUAUAGAAGAUUUGAUUGCAAGAAAAAUUGAUUUUUAAGUCAAUUUGGGCUUUUAAUUUGGAGAAAUUUAAGUUCUGGGGCCAAAAUAUAUUUUUUAGGAAUUUAUUGGGUCAAAUCAGGGGCUCAAUUGCAUAAAUAUUGAAGUUUAAGGGCCAAUUAGGGACUUAAUUGUGAAAAUUCGAAACCAGGGACCAAUUUGGAGAAGGCGCAAAGAUAGAGGGGGCUGUUUGGAUUUGUUUCAGGGGCUUAAUUGAAGAAAUUGGAAGUUUAUUGAUCAAUUAGGGGCUCAAUUGCAUAAAUCAGAGGCCAAGGACCAAAGUGAAAAAGGCGGCCAACAAGAGGGGCGGGGACCGAAUUUUGGGGACUGAUUUGAAGUUUAGCCAAUUUAAAUGAAACGGCGCGUUUUACCCAAAACGACGCCGUUUCAUUAAAAAAAAAAAAAAAAAAAAAAAAACAGAACGGUGUCGUUUUGAACGACACUGUUCAUCUUCCUCCUUCCCCCGUUUUAACAGAACAGAAAACGAAAAAAUUCGAAAAUCUUCCCGCGCCUCUCUCUCUCCUCCCACCACCUUUAGCAUUGGCCGACCAGCCGUUGCACCGCACUAACGAUGGUCCCCCACGGUUCUGCCCCUAUAAAUAGGGAAGAGGACGAAAAGAAAAAAAAACCGAAGGGAGGAGAGAGAGAGGAGGCCGAAGAGAGAGAGAGAACCGAACACCGAAGAGAGAAGGAGCCGCAGCGCCGCCCGGGAAGCCACGCCACCGCAGCACCGCCUCCUCCACGCCAGGUCACCUCUUCUCCCCCUCUCGUUAGUUUUUUUUUUUUUUCCCUGCAUGCAGAAUGAACAUUCUGCAUGCAGGGAGGAGGGGGGAAUUAAUUCCCCCCUCUGUUGAUGUGUAGCUGGGCCAGGUGGAUCCUGGCCCAGCACAUUUUUUUUUUUUUUUGGGCCAGACUAAGUCUGGCCCGGCCUUGUAUCUGACGGGCCAGACCAGGUCUGGCCCAUACCAGCUCUCUGGGCCAAGUCCGGCCCAGAUAUUUGGGCCGGCCCAGCCCGAAUUAUAUAUAUAUAUAUAUAUAUUAUAUUAUAUGUGUGUAUAUAUGUAUAUAUAUAAAUAUAAUAAUAAAAAAAUAAAUAUUUUGAAAAAAUCUUUAAAAAAUAUUGUUGAUUUUUCUGCAUAUUUUUGUCAAAAAUGUUUUAAUUUUGGUUUGUAUUUUUAUACUGUAAAGAUACAAAACCAGUGUUAUAAAUACCCGGUUUUCGUCAAAACAUCAAAGAUUUUCAGAAUAAAAAAUGUUUUUGCUUUCAAAAAAAUUCUAAAAAGUCCCUAAAAAUGUUGUUGAUUUUUCUGCAUAUUUUUAUCAAAAUGGUUUAAUUUUGGUUUGUAUUUUUAUACCGUAAAGAUAUAAAACCAGUGUUAUAAAUACCCGGUUUUCGUCAAAACAUCAAAGAUUUUCAGAAUAAAAAAUGUUUUUGCUUUCAAAAAAAUUCUAAAAAGUCCCUAAAAAUGUUGUUGAUUUUUCUGCAUAUUUUUAUCAAAAUGGUUUAAUUUUGGUUUGUAUUUUUAUACCGUAAAGAUAUAAAACCAGUAUUAAAAUACCCGGUUUUCGUCAAAACAUCAAAGAUUUUCAGAAUAAAAAAUGUUUUUGCUUUCAAAAAAUUUCUAAAAUUCCCUAAAAAUGUUAUUGAUUUUUCUGCAUAUUUUUUAAAAGCGGAUUAAUAUUGGGUUGUAUUUUUAUACCGUAAGGAUACAAGCUCAGUAUUAAAAUACCCGAUUUUCGUCAAAGCAUAAAAAAAAUAAUAUUUUCUAAAAAUUUUUUUUGUUUUAAAAUACGGCCUAGUCUCUCCAAAUAUAUACAUAAAUAUUAUAACAUCAUAUUUUCACACAACAAAGAAAAUUUUCAAAACAAUAUAUGUAUUAACAUGCAUUUUGGCUUUAAUAACCAGUUUAUUCAAGCCAUGAGAACUAGGCCAAUAUUUCAAAAAUUCUAAAAAAUCUUUUUGUUUUAUUUUAGUAUUUGGGAUUACGAAUUUAUACGUAAAACGUAUUCCUAAGUAUUAUUAAUAAAAUUUUGGUAUGGACGUUAGAACGGUUAGGAUUUUUACCCGAUAAGAUAAAAGACCUUCUUACUGAGGAGGAUUUUUCUUGAACCAUAGACAGAUCAACGACUAGGAAAACACAACAACACUUUAGUUUUUUAUCAGACAAUAAAACAAUGCAGCUUACCUUAGGUAGGGCGUAUUUGGGGUGCUAAUACCUUCCCUUUACGCAACCAGUCUCCGUACUUGAUCUCUGAGACCAGUUAGGUUCCUAGUGACCAAAAUACUAGGUGGCGACUCCAAAGAACCAAAAAUAAAAAAAUUCGCCAGUCGAACCCGCAAUUGAUGAAUUUGAAUUUUUUGGGGUGCGACAGAAUGGCGACUCCGCUGGGGACUUUGUAGACUAAGCUUUGUUUUGUCUGAUUUGUUUGUAUUUUCAUGUGUUUAUUGUUAAUAUGCCCUUCCUUUUAUUUGCGUAUUUAUUUAUUUUUUUUACGCAUAUUAUUCAUGCAUUGUAUAUAAUUGUUUCAUGCAUCACUUGCCUUAAUUUUGAAAAGCACACACAAGCCUUAAGUUAAGUGGGGAAUUAGCGAUUUACCCUAAGACUAUUGGUCAGGGUUUAAAUGCGUGAAACACCCAACUCAUAUCUGAGUGCCUGCUUGGUAAUGGUGGGCAUACGUGUCUUAACUGUUCCUUGCAACGCCCCCAUACUGUCUUUACGAAGAACGUCACUGGGCAGAUAUGAGACCCUUCAAGACCAGAUAGAAAACUUACCCACUCUCACUUAAUAAAUAGAGCUUGUCCUUAGGUUAUGUAUCUUAUUUGCAUCAAGAUUAAUAAUGUUAUACUCAUCGCACAUCACUUGUGCAUCACAUUUUCAUCACGCAUUUUGUUAUCAUAUGCAUUACAGAUCGUGAAACAUAGGUCCUACAUCCAGAGUCCACCAAACCCGGUCCAGAUCAAGAAUGGAAAACGAAGAAAGAGCUCAAUUAGAGUCGCACUACCAGACCGAGUUGGAAUCUGUGAAAAAUGAAGUUUCUCGACUGACCAGUCUGCUUGAGCAACUUUUAAGAGCCAAGAAUGGGGAGGGAACAUCUACCCAACCCCAUAUAGGAGCACCAUCAGUUCAUGUUCCGGGGGCAUCUCAGAACUUGGGGGCAGAUUCAGUGACGGGGCAGCACUUUGCACCUACCAUUCCCAUUCAGCCCCCUCAAGCUCACAUCACUGUGGAAGGGCCUCCCGAUAAUAGGUCCACCGGAUUUAUGAACGAUGACAAGAUAUCAGCCUUGGAAGAAAGGUUAAGAGCAGUCGAGGGAAAUGACUGGUUUGACCCCAUGCGAGCAUCUGAAAUAUGCUUGGUACCAAACAUCACGAUACCAAAAAAAUUUAGGAUACCGGAGUUUAUAAAGUACACUGGGUUGGAAUGCCCAAACACUCACCUUCGAUCUUAUUGCAAUAAGAUGGCUGAGGUGAUUCAUGACGAUAAGUUACUGAUCUACUUUUUCCAAGAUAGUCUAUCGGGGUCGGCGCUAAGUUGGUACAUGAGGUUGGAUAAUGCCAAGAUCAAGAAAUGGAAGGAUUUAGUUGAGGCUUUCCUUAAGCAAUACAAGUUCAAUUUGGAAAUUGCUCCAGAUCGAACGAGCCUUAUGUCAAUGGAAAAGAGAAGCCAAGAAUCAGUAAGGGCUUAUGCGCAAAGUGGAGGGACGAGGCCAUGCAUGUGCAACCCCCUUUGAUAGAAACGGAGAUGGUGACUUUGUUCGCCAAUACAUUCAAGGCACCCUACUAUGAGCAUUUAAUGGGUAGCUCAUCUCAACAUUUCUAUGAUGUUGUACGCAUAGCGGAAAGAAUAGAGCAAGGGAUUAAAGCUGGACGCAUAAUUGAGCCAUUGGAGACAAAGGGUUUUUUCGGAAGAAAAAUGAAAGGUCCCGUUAACAACUUCGAAGGUGGGUCCAAUGACAAGAUAACAGAUUCAUAUAACCCACAAAUACCUACCUCUCAUGUGGCCCACAUAAACUUUAACAAACCUUUUUCCCCUAAUCGAGCAAAUGGCCAGUCAAACACCCAAAACACCACCAAAGACCAAACACAAGAUACAUUUCAGAACAACUACCGCCAUUACCCAUGCCUCUGAAGGAUAUAUAUGCCAAAUUACUAAGCAUUGGACAAAUAGCUCCUAUCCCUACAUUACCACUACAGCCACCAUUCCCCAUCUGGUAUAAGCCCGAGUUGACUUGCGAGUACCAUGCUGGUAUUCCCGGGCAUUGUCUUGAAACGUGCUACGGUUUCAAGAACAAGUUGUUGAAGCUCAUCAAGAUAGGAUGGGUGUCAUUUGAAGACACACCCAAUAUCAUUAAAUCCAUUGCCUGGUCAUGACAAAAGUGAUAGGGGAUAAAGGUUGGAAAACCUUGGUCAAGAGUCGUCAAUAAUGAAGAAGGCGAGAUCGAAGGAGAAGACAAGGAAAUGCAAGUGGGGAAGGAAGAUGAAGCAUUGCCUCGGUUGACUUUCCACACACUAGAAGAAGUUUCAGAACGGGUUGACCCAAGAACUUCUCGUAGUUUUCAAAAUGUAAAACAACUUUAUUUGCCUUAGCAUGUUUUUGUCAUUUGCUUUUGUCUUUGCUUUUAUUUUCUCUAGUGAGCAUUCAGAGCUCAUAUUGUCAGCCAGAUUUUUGUGUUUGUCUUUGAGCUUACCUUUUCUUUAAAUAAAUGAUGAGUUUAUGCAUUUUUUGAACAAGUUUGAGUGGUUACAAAUAAAGUAUCAUAAAAUGGUUUAAUAUGAAAUUUAAGAAAAGCUAACCCUAAAGUACAACCCUAUCUCUGAUAGCAUGGAUAAAUGUUUAAGGGUCACUUUGUAAUUGUCUUUUAAAGAAUAGAGUUUAUCAACCAUAACAAUGUGCAUUUUGAAAUGAAAUAAAAAAUCAUGAUCUAUUCACUCACUAAAAGAGUUUAUCACUAGCUGAAUGAAUUGCUUCUCUAUAUAAAAACCCAGACUAAUAUCGCACCCCUAUACUGGGGGCAAGACGAUGUUUUAUGAAAAGUUUUACGAUUUGAAAACCAAGCUAAAGCAUUUGACAAAAGCAUGACAAAGAGGCAAAUACAAGUCAUACAUUUUGAGAAAAGGACUACUUGAAGAAAGUCAAAGACUUUUCUCCAAGAAUAUGAUAGGCAACACAAGAGAUGAAUCCAGCAUACGACUUCAAAAGCAAGUUCAUGUUAAGAGGGAGUCUCAUGAACUAGAAGAAGAGGGGGCCUAUGUUUCAAAACCAGGUAUAAAUGCAUGCAUUGCAUCUAAUCAUAAAUCAUUGCAUAUAUGUUUUUUUUGAUCGUUACAGGAGGAGAUCUUAGCGCAUUCCAACAAGAUUAUGGACGAAGAAAGAAUCAUUGAGUUGAUUCUAGAACAACAAGAAGAGAAGAUAAUGGUUUUCAAACCCUGCCAGCAGGAAGAACGACAUCGAUAGCAUUCGGUAAAAAGGAAUCGCCAAAUGGGAUUCCAAGUUGUUGAGAUCAACAGAAGGGAUCUCGUAUUUCGAUGGAGGUCGCUAGAAGGGACCUCAAAUUUCAGCUUUUGUAUAAAAGGAAUCACCAGAUGUGAUUCCAAGUUGUUGAGAUCGCCAGAAGGGAUCUGUAUUUCGAUGGAGGUCGCCAGAAGGGACCUCACAUUUCAGCUUUGAAUAAAAGGAAUCACCAGAUGGGAUUCCAAGUUGUUUGAGAUCGCCAGAAGGGGUCUCGUUUUCGAUAUUCAUCAAUGGAGGUCGCCAGAAGGGACCUCAAAUUUCAGCUUUGGUAUAAAAGGAAUCGCCAGAUGGGAUUCCAAGUUGUUUGGCUAAAGAGAUCGCAGAAGGGAUCUCAUAUUUCGAUAAGGGUCGCCAGAAGGGACCUAAUAUUUCAGCUUUGAAUAAAAGGAAUCGCCAGAUGGGAUUCCAAGUUAUUUGAGAUCGCCAGAAGGGAUCUCGUACUUCGACAUUCAUCAAGGAAGGUCGCCAGAAGGGACCUCAUAUUGAAACCAUUUCUUAGAAAAGCAUGGAGUUUACUAAAAAUUCCCCUGGGUAGUCACCCAUACAAUGAGACCAUCAUUUUUCCUGGGUAGGUCACCCAUACAAUGAGACCAUCAUUUUUCUGGGUAGGUCACCCAUACAAUGAGACCAUCAUUUUUCUGGGGUCGUCACCCAUACAAUGAGACCAUCAUUUUUCUGGGUAGUCACCCAUACAAUGAGACCAUCAUUUUUCUGGGUAGGUCACCCAUACAAUGAGACCAUCAUUUUUCUGGGUAGGUCACCCAUACAAUGAGACCACCAUCAUUUUUCUGGGUAGGUCACCCAUACAAUGAGACCAUCAUUUUUCCUGGGUAGGUCACCCAUACAAUGAGACCAUCAUUUUCUGGGUAGGUCACCCAUACAAUGAGACCAUCAUUUUUCUUGGGUAGGUCACCCAUACAAUGAGACCAUUCUCAUCUUUUUUUCUGGGUAGGUCACCCAUACAAUGAGACCAUCCUUUUUUUCUGGGUAGGUCACCCAUACAAUGAGACCAUCAUUUUUCUGGGUAGGUCACCCAUACAAUGAGACCAUUAUUUUUCUGGGUAGGUCACCCAUACAAUGAGACCAUCUUUUUUUCUGGGUAGGUCACCCAUCACAAUGAGACCAUAUUUUUCGGGGCAGGUCACCCAUCAAAAUGAGACCACACACACAUUUUUUUUGUAUUGGGUAAAGGAAUCACCAGAUGGGAUUCCAGGUUAAAGGAGAUCACCAGAUGGGAUCUCGGAUGGAUUUCCAUAUGGAUCAAACUAAAGUAAGAAUUCAGAGGAUUGCUGGAUAAGGAUCUCGAGAUGGCUAAGUUUUGAUCAUGGUUUUUGGGGCUAAGGAGGAUUGUUAUAAAGGACAAAGUUUCGGAUCAUUUAAGCUCCGACCAGAUCAGUUUCGGGAUUGUCGUUUUGGGUUUUAUCUUUAUAACACUUACUGCGCAAAACCCAUGCUCCGUAAGUAUUAUAAAGAGGGGGCAUCUGUUAUAACCCAUUUUUGGGUCCCCAUGAAAAAUAAAAUAAAUAGCCAAAAGAGUUUAGAAAAAAUAACAGAAGGCAGAAGCGCUCAGGAAACAGUCAGAAAAUUGGUCAAGAAAUUCAAAAAUACAAGGAUUAAAUUUUUGACAGUAUAUUCUUGAAGGAUGAAGGCCCUAUUGAGAAGGAAAAUUUGAAUUUUGAGGAGAAAAGCCCAAAUUUGGAUGUUUAUGGACUUAAUUGGAUUUUUAUUUGAAUUUAUAGAAGAUUUGAUUGCAAGAAAAAUUGAUUUUUAAGUCAAUUUGGGCUUUAAUUUGGAGAAAUUUAAGUUCUGGGGCCAAAAUAUUUUUUAGGAAUUUAUUGGGUCAAAUCAGGGGCUCAAUUGCAUAAAUAUUGAAGUUUAAGGGCCAAUUAGGGACUUAAUUGUGAAAAUCCGAAACCAGGGACCAAUUUGGAGAAGGCGCAAAGAUAGAGGGGGCUGUUUGGAUUUGUUUCAGGGGCUUAAUUGAAGAAAUUGGAAGUUUAUUGAUCAAUUAGGGGCUCAAUUGCAUAAAUCAGAGGCCAAGGACCAAAGUGAAAAAGGCGGCCAACAAGAGGGGCGGGGACCGAAUUUUGGGGACUGAUUUGAAGUUUAGCCAUUUAAAUGAAACGGCGCGUUUUACCCAAAACGACGCCGUUUCAUUAAAAAAAAAAAAAAAAAAAAAAAAAAACAGAACGGUGUCGUUUUGAACGACACUGUUCAUCUUCCUCCUUCCCCCCGUUUUAACAGAACAGAAAACGAAAAAAUUCGAAAAUCUUCCCGCGCCUCUCUCUCUCCUCGCCCCCACCACCUUUAGCAUUGGCCGACCAGCCGUUGCACCGCACUAACGAUGGUCCCCCACGGUUCUGCCCCUAUAAAUAGGGAAGAGGGACGAAAAGAAAAAAAAAACCCGAAGGGAGGAGAGAGAGAGGAGGCCGAAGAGAGAGAGAGAACCGAACACCGAAGAGAGAAGGAGCCGAAGCGCCGCCCGGGAAGCCACGCCACCGCAGCACCGCCUCCUCCACGCCAGGUCACCUCUUCUCCCCCCUCUCGUUAGUUUUUUCUUCUUUUUUUUUCCUGCAUGCAGAAUGAACAUUCUGCAUGCAGGGAGGAGGGGGGAAUUAAUUCCCCCCCUCUGUUGAUGUGUAGCUGGGCCAGGUGGAUCCUGGCCCAGCACAUUUUUUUUUUCUUUUUUUGGGCCAGACUAAGUCUGGCCCGGCCUUGUAUCUGACGGGCCAGACCAGGUCUGGCCCCAUACCAGCUCUCUGGGCCAAGUCCGGCCCAGAUAUUUGGGCCGGCCCAGCCCGAAUUAUAUUAUAUAUUAUAUAUUAUAUAUUAUAUUAUAUGUGUGUAUAUAUGUAUAUAUAUAUAAAAUAUAAUAAUAAAAAAAAUAAAUAUUUUGAAAAAAUCUUUAAAAAAAUAUUGUUGAUUUUUCUGCAUAUUUUUGUCAAAAAUGUUUUAAUUUUGGUUUGUAUUUUUAUACUGUAAAGAUACAAAACCAGUGUUAUAAAUACCCGGUUUUCGUCAAAACAUCAAAGAUUUUCAGAAUAAAAAAUGUUUUUGCUUUCAAAAAAAUUCUUAAAAGUCCCUAAAAAUGUUGUUCAUUUUUCUGCAUAUUUUUAUCAAAAUGGUUUAAUUUUGGUUUGUAUUUUUAUACCGUAAAGAUAUAAAACCAGUGUUAUAAAUACCCGGUUUUCGUCAAAAUAUCAAAGAUUUUCAGAAUAAAAAAUGUUUUUGCUUUCAAAAAAAUUCUAAAAAGUCCCUAAAAAUGUUGUUGAUUUUUCUGCAUAUUUUUAUCAAAAUGGUUUAAUUUUGGUUUGUAUUUUUAUACCGUAAAGAUAUAAAACCAGUGUUAUAAAUACCCGGUUUUCGUCAAAAUAUCAAAGAUUUUCAGAAUAAAAAAUGUUUUUGCUUUCAAAAAAUUUCUAGAAAUUCCCUAAAAAUGUUAUUGAUUUUUCUGCAUAUUUUUUUAAAAACGGAUUAAUAUUGGGUUGUAUUUUUAUACCGUAAGGAUACAAGCUCAGUAUUAAAAUACCCGAUUUUCGUCAAAGCAUAAAAAAAAUAAUAUUUUCCAAAAAUUGUUUUUUUGUUUUAAAAUACGGCCUAGUCUCUCCAAUAUAUAUACAUAAAUAUUAUAACAUCAUAUUUUCACACAACAAAGAAAAUUUUCAAAACAAUAUAUGUAUUAACAUGCAUUUUGGCUUUAAUAACCAGUUUAUUCAAGCCAUGAGAACUAGGCCAAUAUUUCAAAAAAUUCUAAAAAAUCUUUUUGUUUUAUUUUAGUAUUUGGGAUUACGAAUUUAUACGUAAAACGUAUUCCUAAGUAUUAUUAAUAAAAUUUUGGUAUGGACGUUAGAACGGUUAGGAUUUUUACCCGAUAAGAUAAAAGACCUUCUUACUGAGGAGGAUUUUUCUUGAACCAUAGACAGAUCAACGACUAGGAAAACACAACAACACUUUAGUUUUUUAUCAGACAAUAAAACAAUGCAGCUUACCUUAGGUAGGGCGUAUUUGGGGUGCUAAUACCUUCCCUUUACGCAACCAGUCUCCGUACUUGAUCUCUGAGACCAGUUAGGUUCCUAGUGACCAAAAUACUAGGUGGCGACUCCAAAGAACCAAAAAUAAAAAAAAUUCGCCAGUCGAACCCGCAAUUGAUGAAUUUGAAUUUUUUUGGGGUGCGACAUUGACCAUGAAUGGUUGAAACGAUAUUAGUAACUGAACUUUCCAUCUUGGUCUUGAAUUGCCAUAGCUCCCCCGUCAACCUGUCCUUCUCAUGACUUCUCAGAUCCCCCUCUUCACCUUGAUCGGCUAGAAGAUACUGCGGAGUCUUCUCAACAUCUCUACGCUCCCUCUCUUCGAAGCUGAUGCCACAGUCCACACCUGCCAUUGCUAGAGCUUCGAUUGAUGGCAUGGCUUCAGUCAAGUACUGCUAAGAGUGUUUCUGUGUGCUUCUUUGCAUCAAGACAUACGAGGUAUUUAUAAGGGGAACCUAAACUAGCCUUGUAUCUCUGUGGAUAAGGUUGCAGGUGAGAGCAUAUGAUCCAC
This 13609-nucleotide long non-coding RNA is filed under the name Populus tremula. Its description in RNAcentral is "long non-coding RNA (PTRE_LNC002664)". The record is from RNAcentral. Lineage: Eukaryota; Viridiplantae; Streptophyta; Magnoliopsida; Malpighiales; Salicaceae.